This is a long non-coding RNA of Hemicordylus capensis (graceful crag lizard), 658 nucleotides long. RefSeq lists it as uncharacterized. The transcript is spliced from 2 exons. The record is from RefSeq and is a predicted model, not a curated record. NCBI's taxonomy places the organism in Eukaryota, Metazoa, Chordata, Lepidosauria, Squamata, Cordylidae.
AUUGUUAGAACUGGCAGAAAACAGGCCAUCUUAAAUUGAAUUACAUUCUAGCCAAAGUAGGCUUUAUGUGUGGCUUGAGAAAUGAGAAAAAGCAUGAAGAGCAGCCUGCACUGCUCCAUCUGCCAGAGAAGGCACAGCUGCAGGCAUUCUGCUUCCUUCUCCCUCCUUCUGCAAAGAAUUCUGCUAAGGGCUGCUGAGCUCCAGGUUGGGGAAAAUUGGAGUGAAGAAAUAAGAGGGAGGAAUAAAGAAAGUUGUGUCUGAUGAAGAACAGCUGAAAUUGUAUGGCCAUCUUGCAUAAACAUAGUUACCCAGAAGCCCUGAGUGAGUUCAGCUCCCCUUGUAUAAAGCAAAAUAAUACUAAGUUAUCACAGCUGUAAUAGUUAAAAAUCAUAACGUUUGUACCCAGCUCACUCUCAUAAUGUAACACUACUAGAGUCAACAAACACUUGGACACAUCUGGAGACUUUUUGGAGAAAUGGCAGAAGACGGCAUCCUCCAAUGUCAAACCUUUAAAUUAAAGAUUUAAGGGAUGAAAUUCUAUCCCUGUGGAUAAAGACAGCAUGAAAACUAUGCACCAUUUAGGAGCUGUAUGAAGAGAGAGAAGACGUCGCUUGAAGAAUAACAAAGUUGAAUGCAUAUUAAAGCAAAUUACAUUUGA